RNAcentral lists this transfer RNA (91 nucleotides) under subsurface metagenome. RNAcentral's name for it is "tRNA-Ser". It matches the Rfam family "tRNA". From Rfam's summary of the family: Transfer RNA (tRNA) molecules are approximately 80 nucleotides in length. Their secondary structure includes four short double-helical elements and three loops (D, anti-codon, and T loops). The record is from RNAcentral.
UGGAGAGGUGUCCGAGCGGCCUAAGGAGCACGAUUGGAAAUCGUGUAUUUAUCGAAAGGUGGAUCGUGGGUUCAAAUCCCACCCUCUCCGU